Molecule: long non-coding RNA, 937 nt
Organism: Anguilla rostrata (American eel)
Lineage: Eukaryota; Metazoa; Chordata; Actinopteri; Anguilliformes; Anguillidae
Exons: 2
Source: RefSeq, a predicted model, not a curated record
AAUCUACAUUUCUUAUUGACUAUUUUAACGUCCCAUCAAUUAUUAAAAAAUAAAUUGAUUUUAUUUAGUGAUCGGGUUGCAACCGAAGUUAUUUUCUUUUCUCAGAUUGAAAGAAUGCCACCAGAAGGCGUGUUUUCAGGGCACAAGUGUGACAUGGAUUUUGGAGUCCCCACCCAGCACCCCCCUUCCCAGCUGUCUCUCAUGCCCCUCUCACCCCGUGGAGUUCAUCCGGGGCCCCCCCGUGGACAGGCCACGCCCGGCGUACAGAGGGGACGGCGAGGCCCAGGUGCUUCUGGGAGUGAAGAGCCGUGACCUACAGCAGGUAAAGGGGCAGAUCCUGAAGCCCAGAGUGCGUCAUGGCCACUGCUGCCAUGACGACGGUGGAAAAUGAAAGGCCGCAAAACAGCGGGCAUUUGCUCAUCUUUCAGACUCUAGCCACACCCCCCCCCCCCCAUGUCCCAUCACUGCUGGUACUGCGGCCAUAAUCUUUCAGCUACGCUGCCGGACUUGGGACUUCAAGCGCAAUGCCUUUUCAAGUUGGCCUCCAGCUUUUGUGACAAACAGUGAAGAUUUUAGUUUUAAUCCCUUUAAAUUUUAUUCCACUGUUAUUAUAUUAACAUAAUAAUAAUGCAGAAACUUAAAAAAAAAUUAAACUGCAUUAAAUAAGUAAAAUAAUAAGUAAUAAUAAUAGCAUAAUAAUAAUGGGUUACAUUGAUAUACAGCCUUUCACAGUGUUACUUAGGCUUUUUGUGGAGGAGAAUCUGGCAGGGUUUGGUUUUGAAGACUCAUAUUGGGGGUGGGGGUGGGGGGUGGUAUUUGGGGUUGAUGAAUGAUUUAUCCUUUAUAAAAUAAGGCAGUUGCUCUCCAUUCUUACCUUUGUUUCCAGCACGUAGGAAAGUAAAGACACGUUCUCCAACGGGACCCUCAGAACAUUUUA